GACGAACGCUGGCGGCGUGCUUAACACAUGCAAGUCGAACGGUGAAGCGCCUUCCUUUUUGGUGGGUGUGGAUGAGUGGCGAACGGGUGAGUAACACGUGAGUAACCUGCCCCCUUCUUCUGGAUAACCGCAUGAAAGUGUGGCUAAUACGGGAUAUUCUGGGUCUGUCGCAUGAUGGGUCUGGGAAAGAUAUUGUUUCGGUGGGGGAUGGGCUCGCGGCCUAUCAGCUUGUUGGUGGGGUGAUGGCCUACCAAGGCGGUGACGGGUAGCCGGCCUGAGAGGGUGGACGGUCACACUGGGAAUGAGACCCGGCCCAGACUCCUACGGGGGGCAGCCGGGGGGAAUAUUGCACAAUGGGCGCAAGCCUGAUGCAGCGACGCCGCGUGAGGGAUGGAGGCCUUCGGGUUGUGAACCUCUUUCGCCAGUGAAGCAGGCCUGCCUCGUUUGUGGGUGGGUUGACGGUAGCUGGAUAAGAAGCGCCGGCUAACUACGUG
Molecule: ribosomal RNA, 494 nt
Filed under: uncultured bacterium
Lineage: Bacteria
Description: partial 16S ribosomal RNA
Rfam family: Bacterial small subunit ribosomal RNA
Source: RNAcentral